GAUGAACGCUAGCGGCAGGCCUAAUACAUGCAAGCCGAACGGCAAGAUUGAUAGCAAUAUUGAUCCUAGAGUGGCGUAAGGGUGCGUAACACGUAUGCAAUCUACCCUCAACAGGAGGAUAGCUCCCCGAAAGGGGAAUUAAGACUCCAUAAGAUCAUUUGGUGGCAUCAUUGAAUGAUUAAACUUCCAGGGGUUGAGGAUGAGCAUGCGCCNGAUUAGUUAGUUGGCGGGGUAAGGCCCACCAAGACGAUGAUCAGUAGGGGAACUGAGAGGUUGAUCCCCCACACUGGCACUGAGAUACGGG
This 304-nucleotide ribosomal RNA is filed under the name uncultured bacterium. RNAcentral describes it as "bacterial SSU rRNA". It matches the Rfam family "Bacterial small subunit ribosomal RNA", at positions 28 to 330 of the family's 1533-position model. The record is from RNAcentral.